AUCAUGGCUCAGAUUGAACGCUGGCGGCAGGCCUAACACAUGCAAGUCGAGCGGUAGCACAGAGAGCUUGCUCUCGGGUGACGAGCGGCGGACGGGUGAGUAAUGUCUGGGAAACUGCCUGAUGGAGAGGGAUAACUACUGGAAACGGUAGCUAAUACCGCAUAACGUCGCAAGACCAAAGUGGGGGACCUUCGGGCCUCAUGCCAUCAGAUGUGCCCAGAUGGGAUUAGCUAGUAGGUGGGGUAACGGCUCACC
This 255-nucleotide ribosomal RNA is filed under the name Klebsiella pneumoniae. RNAcentral describes it as "partial 16S ribosomal RNA". It matches the Rfam family "Bacterial small subunit ribosomal RNA", at positions 16 to 269 of the family's 1533-position model. The record is from RNAcentral. Lineage: Bacteria; Pseudomonadati; Pseudomonadota; Gammaproteobacteria; Enterobacterales; Enterobacteriaceae.